Molecule: non-coding RNA, 270 nt
Filed under: Azotobacter vinelandii
Lineage: Bacteria; Pseudomonadati; Pseudomonadota; Gammaproteobacteria; Pseudomonadales; Pseudomonadaceae
Description: rne-II RNA
Rfam family: rne-II RNA
Source: RNAcentral
AUACGUGCAGGGUGGAGAUGCACAACCAUCGGAUUGCGUAGCUGCAAGCUUUCAUCCAGACGCACAAGGCGUCCGCUGCCGAUGCUUGAUUCCUCCUCCUGAUUGAUUGCUUUCUGCCACAACAGUAAGCAGGAGACGUAGUCGCGACUCUGGCCACCAGCCAAAUGUUGCUUGACACGGGAACGGACGACAACCUUUCCUGAACGGCCCCUGUCACCGACCGCGAGAGUCGUGUGUGCCGAACGCCGUUUCCGGCAGCCCGGAAACCGA